AUCCAGUUGAUGAGUCCCAAAGUAGGACGAAACGCGCGUUCUUGAU
Schistosoma mansoni is the source of this 46-nucleotide non-coding RNA. NCBI's taxonomy places the organism in Eukaryota, Metazoa, Platyhelminthes, Trematoda, Strigeidida, Schistosomatidae. The record is from Rfam.